GAAAGUAAAUAAGGGCGUAUGGGGAAUGCCUAGGCUCUCAGAGGCGAAGAAGGACGUGAUAAGCUGCGAAAAUCCACGGGGAUCGGCACAUACGAGUAGAUCCGUGGGUAUCCGAAUGGGGCAACCCGUCUGGCUGAAGGCCAGUCACUCCCGAGCAAUCGGGGGAGCGAACCCGGAGAACUGAAACAUCUAAGUACCCGGAGGAAGAGAAAACAAUAGUGAUUCCGCAAGUAGUGGCGAGCGAACGUGGAACAGCCCAAACCCUGUCAGUUACGGCUGAUGGGGGGUUGUAGGACUGCAUAAUCAAACUAAAACUGAACAAGAACCAUGUGGAAAAAUGGACCGCAGAGGGUGAGAGUCCCGUAUUGGCAAGGUAUUAGGGCGAGGCAGUAUCCUGAGUAGGUCGGGACCGGAGAAAUCCCGAUUGAACCCGCCGGCACCAUCCGGUAAGGCUAAAUACUCCUGAGAGACCGAUAGUGAACCAGUACCGUGAGGGAAAGGUGAAAAGUACCCUGAAUAAGGGGGUGAAAUAGAACCUGAAACCAUACGCUUACAAGCGGUCGGAGUCCCCAUUAAUGGGGAUGACGGCGUGCCUUUUGCAUAAUGAGCCUACGAGUUAUCCUCUUUGGCAAGGUUAAUCACCUAAGGUGAGCAUCCGGAGCGAAAGCGAGUCUGAACAGGGCGCGAUAGUCAGAGGGGGUAGACGCGAAACUCGGUGAUCUACCCAUGUCCAGGUUGAAGUUGCGGUAACACGCCAUGGAGGACCGAACCAGUAUACGUUGAAAAGUAUUUGGAUGAGGUGUGGGUAGGGGUGAAAGGCCAAUCAAACUGAGAAAUAGCUCGUACUCCCCGAAAUGCUUUUAGGAGCAGCGUGGGGUAAUUUCUAGUGGAGGUAGAGCUACCAAUAGGACUAGGGGGAGUCAAAUCCUACCAACUCCUGAUGAACUCCGAAUGCUACUAGAAUAAGCCCCGCAGUGAGGGCUAGGGUGCUAAGGUCCUAGUCCGAGAGGGAAAGAACCCAGACCUACAGCUAAGGUCCCAAAAUAUAUGCUAAGUUGAACUAAGGUGGUCCAGUUGCCCAGACAGCCAGGAUGUUGGCUUGGAAGCAGCCAUUCAUUUAAAGAGUGCGUAACAGCUCACUGGUCGAGCGACAGGGCGUCGAUGAUAAUCGGGCAUCAAGCAUAUUACCGAAGCUAAGGCAACGCCGUAAGGCGUUGGGUAGGGGAGCAUUCUAACCAGCGGCGAAGCCGUUCUGUAAGGGAUGGUGAAGCGGUUAGAAAAGCAAAUGUAGGCAUAAGUAACGAUAAUGAGGGUGAGAAACCCUCACACCAAAAGACUAAGGUUUCCCCGGCAAUGCUAAUCAGCCGGGGGUUAGUCGGGACCUAAGGCGAACCCGCAAGGGGUAGUCGAUGGACAAUCGGUUAAUAUUCCGAUACUACCUUACCAAGUGAAGUGGUGACGGAGGAGUGAACCCGCUGCGUACUGACGGAAUAGUACGUUGAAGGGAGUAGGUAUAUUGUUUGUAGGCAAAUCCGCAGACAAUGCCGAACCUGAUAGUACCACAAUGCUUCGGCAGCGUGGAUAAUGCGGUUAAACAGACUUCCAAGAAAACCCGCUAGCGUUAAUUGAUAAGGUACCCGUACCGUAAACCGACACAGGUAGUCGGGGAGAGAAUCCUAAGGUGCUCGAGUGAGUCGUGGCUAAGGAACUAGGCAAAAUGGCCCUGUAACUUCGGGAGAAGGGGCGCCUAGCCCACCCCCCCUGUAUUCCCCCCCUUCGGGGGGGAUUGGGGGGGUCGGAAGGCCGCAGUGAAAAGAUCCAGGCGACUGUUUAGCAAAAACACAUGGCUUUGCGAAAUCGAAAGAUGAAGUAUAAGGCCUGACACCUGCCCGGUGCUGGAAGGUUAAGGGGGGAUGUUAUCAACCUUAGGGUUGAGAAGCAUUGAACUGAAGCCCCAGUAAACGGCGGCCGUAACUAUAACGGUCCUAAGGUAGCGAAAUUCCUUGUCGGGUAAGUUCCGACCUGCACGAAUGGUGCAACGAUCUGGAUACUGUCUCAGCCACGAGCUCGGUGAAAUUGUAGUAGCGGUGAAGAUGCCGCUUACCCGCAACGGGACGGAAAGACCCCAUGAACCUUUACUAUAGCUUAACAUUGACAUUGUGUACAUGAUGUGUAGGAUAGGUGGGAGACUAUGAAGCUGAGUCGCUAGAUUUGGUGGAGUCGCCCGUGAAAUACCACCCUUUAUUUAUGUGAUGCCUAAUCCCCAUCGGGGAGACAUUGUUUGGUGGGUAGUUUGACUGGGGUGGUCGCCUCCAAAAGCGUAACGGAGGCUUUCAAAGGUACCCUCAGGACGGUUGGUAAUCGUUCGCAGAGUGCAAUAGCAUAAGGGUGCUUGACUGUGAGACUAACAAGUCGAGCAGGUAGGAAACUAGGAUAUAGUGAUCCGGCGGUACCGCAUGGAAGGGCCGUCGCUCAAAGGAUAAAAGGUACUCUGGGGAUAACAGGCUGAUCUCCCCCAAGAGCUCAUAUCGACGGGGAGGUUUGGCACCUCGAUGUCGGCUCGUCACAUCCUGGGGCUGGAGAAGGUCCCAAGGGUUGGGCUGUUCGCCCAUUAAAGUGGCACGCGAGCUGGGUUCAGAACGUCGUGAGACAGUUCGGUCCCUAUCUGUUGUGGGCGCAAGAAGCUUGCGAGGGUCUGUCCUUAGUACGAGAGGACCGGGAUGGACCAACCUCUGGUGUACCGGUUGUGGUGCCAACUGCACCGCCGGGUAGCUAAGUUGGGCAGAGAUAAGCGCUGAAAGCAUCUAAGCGCGAAACUCACCUCAAGAUGAGGCUUCUUUAUAAGGGUCGUCAGAGACGAUGACGUAGAUAGGUUGCAGGUGUAAAGUCAGAGAUGGCAUAGCCGAGCAAUACUAAUUACCCGUAAGCUUUUAUUC
This 2936-nucleotide ribosomal RNA is filed under the name marine sediment metagenome. RNAcentral's name for it is "bacterial LSU rRNA". It matches the Rfam family "Bacterial large subunit ribosomal RNA". The record is from RNAcentral.